Molecule: ribosomal RNA, 460 nt
Filed under: uncultured bacterium
Lineage: Bacteria
Description: partial 16S ribosomal RNA
Rfam family: Bacterial small subunit ribosomal RNA
Source: RNAcentral
GCUACGGGCGGCUGCAGUGAGGAAUAUUGGUCAAUGGGCGUAAGCCUGAACCAGCCAAGUCGCGUGAGGGAUGAAGGUUCUAUGGAUCGUAAACCUCUUUUAUAAGGGAAUAAAGUGCGGGACGUGUCCCGUUUUGUAUGUACCAUAUGAAUAAGCAUCGGCUAACUCCGUGCCAGCAGCAGCGGUAAUACGGAGGAUGCGAGCGUUAUCCGGAUUUAUUGGGUUUAAAGGGUGCGUAGGUGGUUAAUUAAGUCAGCGGUGAACGUUUGUGGCUCAACCAUAAAAUUGCCGUUGAAACUGGUUGACUUGAGUAUAUUUGAGGUAGGCGGAAUGCGUGGUGUAGCGGUGAAAUGCUUAGAUAUCACGCAGAACUCCGAUUGCGACGGCAGCUUACUAAACUAUACCUGACACUGACGCACGAAAGCGUGGGGAUCAAACAGGAUUAGAUACCCUUGUAGUC